This 1476-nucleotide long non-coding RNA is filed under the name Scleropages formosus (Asian bonytongue). Its description in RNAcentral is "lncRNA (ENSSFOG00015032920.1)". Lineage: Eukaryota; Metazoa; Chordata; Actinopteri; Osteoglossiformes; Osteoglossidae. The record is from RNAcentral.
CCUGUUUUUACGAUUAAUCCUGAGAAGCGCUACACUACAGUAACGCAAGAGUUAGCACGUGCUGGGUCACGUGUGUAAAUACCGUUACAGCGAGCGUUUUAACCACGCCCAUUUCGAAUCUUUGUAUUUACAUUUUAACGUUCGUAACGGUCGAUCGUCACGAUUUUUCUUAUUUGCGCUGCUCUCUCAGUUUUGUUCGGGUCACGUCCAUUCCUCACGUAUUUUUCUGCUCUUUUAAUUACGCCACAUUUGCUCUUGACACAAACCACAGUCUCGGUCCCCGGUGACGCGAAACUGCGGAUUUUGAAAAAAUUUUUCAUUUCGGCGCGAUUCCAGCGACACUCAACACGGAGAAAAUGAGUUCUCUGCUCCAGCAACGAGAAGAGGGUCGCCACUUUUUUGGCGAUGAUUUUCCAGUGAUAAUGAGUGAAGACGAAGAGUCUUUAAAUGAGACAACAGAUGGCUGGCAGGAGCCUCAAGAAGACAGCAGCAGUGCCCACGUGGCUUCUGGGGACCUCACUGAAUGGAAGCCUGUCGACUGCUCAGAGAGUGGCGCCGUCUCCCGUACUGCCGCACCGCUCGCUGAGAGCGGAGGGACCCAGGAGUCAGUCAAGAACUCCCUGACUGACUCUGUGAACCAUGUGUGGCAGCACUGCUAUGAUACCUCGGAAAAUACGCCAAAUUGCAGUUACCGUUUGAGAUCUCACGCAGAUGAGAAGCUAUACGUGUGUCUCGUGUGCUCUAAGUGUUUUUGCACCCGGAGCCAGCUCACUCGCCACUAUCAAGCAUGUAUCUUCGCCGAUUCGGAACAAUAUGACAAACAUGCUGCUACAGAGCUGAAGAGUGAGUCUGAGGAGUCUUCUCCUAGCUCUGACUCAUGCUCGCCAUUAAUGCUGAAGUACACCUGCCAAAUAUGCUUUUAUGCUACUGGUAGUUUGGCACAUUUUAAUUGCCAUUUAAGAACACACAGGGGUGAGAAACCAUACAUGUCUCGUACCUGGAGCCAUCUGAUCCGACACAUUCGGACGUGCAACUAUAGAGACCUCUCCAGUCUUGCUUUAAAGAUGCAGAAGUGUGAGUUUUGCAAGUACGCCACUAAUUCCCCAUAUAACUUAGGGGUCCACAAGCGAAUCCAUGCAGGCCAGCAAUGUGCACUGGCAGUGGUUCAUAACAUAGAAUCGGAAGUACUGAAAGUGGACAUCUAAAUGUAUUCUAAACUUGAACUGCAAAAAGAAGACAACUGUAAUGUCCAUGGUAGCACUGAGCGCUUUUUAAAUAUUUGCAUUUGUAUUUUGGUUCAUGUAUUAGUUUUAAUACUUGGCAAUUUCAAACUGGACCACUGCCAGUAUACUGACUAUUAUGAAUUUUUUGCUGUAUAUGACUCCUUUAAAGUCAGUGAAAGUGUCUUAUAGUUGCUUGCUUAGUAUUUCUGAUUUUUUCUUUUAUGUCAUGACAUAAAAACUUCUCUGUUUUUCC